This 2144-nucleotide ribosomal RNA is filed under the name Pseudomonas aeruginosa. RNAcentral's name for it is "bacterial LSU rRNA". It matches the Rfam family "Bacterial large subunit ribosomal RNA", at positions 14 to 2196 of the family's 2925-position model. The record is from RNAcentral. Lineage: Bacteria; Pseudomonadati; Pseudomonadota; Gammaproteobacteria; Pseudomonadales; Pseudomonadaceae.
AGCGCAUACGGUGGAUGCCUUGGCAGUCAGAGGCGAUGAAAGACGUGGUAGCCUGCGAAAAGCUUCGGGGAGUCGGCAAACAGACUUUGAUCCGGAGAUCUCUGAAUGGGGGAACCCACCUAGGAUAACCUAGGUAUCUUGUACUGAAUCCAUAGGUGCAAGAGGCGAACCAGGGGAACUGAAACAUCUAAGUACCCUGAGGAAAAGAAAUCAACCGAGAUUCCCUUAGUAGUGGCGAGCGAACGGGGAUUAGCCCUUAAGCUUCAUUGAUUUUAGCGGAACGCUCUGGAAAGUGCGGCCAUAGUGGGUGAUAGCCCCGUACGCGAAAGGAUCUUUGAAGUGAAAUCGAGUAGGACGGAGCACGAGAAACUUUGUCUGAACAUGGGGGGACCAUCCUCCAAGGCUAAAUACUACUGACUGACCGAUAGUGAACCAGUACCGUGAGGGAAAGGCGAAAAGAACCCCGGAGAGGGGAGUGAAAUAGAACCUGAAACCGUAUGCGUACAAGCAGUGGGAGCCUACUUGUUAGGUGACUGCGUACCUUUUGUAUAAUGGGUCAGCGACUUAUAUUCAGUGGCAAGCUUAACCGUAUAGGGUAGGCGUAGCGAAAGCGAGUCUUAAUAGGGCGUUUAGUCGCUGGGUAUAGACCCGAAACCGGGCGAUCUAUCCAUGAGCAGGUUGAAGGUUAGGUAACACUGACUGGAGGACCGAACCCACUCCCGUUGAAAAGGUAGGGGAUGACUUGUGGAUCGGAGUGAAAGGCUAAUCAAGCUCGGAGAUAGCUGGUUCUCCUCGAAAGCUAUUUAGGUAGCGCCUCAUGUAUCACUCUGGGGGGUAGAGCACUGUUUCGGCUAGGGGGUCAUCCCGACUUACCAAACCGAUGCAAACUCCGAAUACCCAGAAGUGCCGAGCAUGGGAGACACACGGCGGGUGCUAACGUCCGUCGUGAAAAGGGAAACAACCCAGACCGCCAGCUAAGGUCCCAAAGUUGUGGUUAAGUGGUAAACGAUGUGGGAAGGCUUAGACAGCUAGGAGGUUGGCUUAGAAGCAGCCAUCCUUUAAAGAAAGCGUAAUAGCUCACUAGUCGAGUCGGCCUGCGCGGAAGAUGUAACGGGGCUCAAACCACACACCGAAGCUGCGGGUGUCACGUAAGUGACGCGGUAGAGGAGCGUUCUGUAAGCCUGUGAAGGUGAGUUGAGAAGCUUGCUGGAGGUAUCAGAAGUGCGAAUGCUGACAUGAGUAACGACAAUGGGUGUGAAAAACACCCACGCCGAAAGACCAAGGGUUCCUGCGCAACGUUAAUCGACGCAGGGUUAGUCGGUUCCUAAGGCGAGGCUGAAAAGCGUAGUCGAUGGGAAACAGGUUAAUAUUCCUGUACUUCUGGUUACUGCGAUGGAGGGACGGAGAAGGCUAGGCCAGCUUGGCGUUGGUUGUCCAAGUUUAAGGUGGUAGGCUGAAAUCUUAGGUAAAUCCGGGGUUUCAAGGCCGAGAGCUGAUGACGAGUCGUCUUUUAGAUGACGAAGUGGUUGAUGCCAUGCUUCCAAGAAAAGCUUCUAAGCUUCAGGUAACCAGGAACCGUACCCCAAACCGACACAGGUGGUCGGGUAGAGAAUACCAAGGCGCUUGAGAGAACUCGGGUGAAGGAACUAGGCAAAAUGGCACCGUAACUUCGGGAGAAGGUGCGCCGGCUAGGGUGAAGGAUUUACUCCGUAAGCUCUGGCUGGUCGAAGAUACCAGGCCGCUGCGACUGUUUAUUAAAAACACAGCACUCUGCAAACACGAAAGUGGACGUAUAGGGUGUGACGCCUGCCCGGUGCCGGAAGGUUAAUUGAUGGGGUUAGCGCAAGCGAAGCUCUUGAUCGAAGCCCCGGUAAACGGCGGCCGUAACUAUAACGGUCCUAAGGUAGCGAAAUUCCUUGUCGGGUAAGUUCCGACCUGCACGAAUGGCGUAACGAUGGCGGCGCUGUCUCCACCCGAGACUCAGUGAAAUUGAAAUCGCUGUGAAGAUGCAGUGUAUCCGCGGCUAGACGGAUAGACCCCGUGAACCUUUACUGUAGCUUUGCACUGGACUUUGAGCCUGCUUGUGUAGGAUAGGUGGGAGGCUUUGAAGCGUGGACGCCAGUUCGCGUGGAGCCAUCCUUGAA